RNAcentral lists this ribosomal RNA (580 nucleotides) under Klebsiella ornithinolytica. Its description in RNAcentral is "Raoultella ornithinolytica partial 23S ribosomal RNA". It matches the Rfam family "Bacterial large subunit ribosomal RNA", at positions 245 to 867 of the family's 2925-position model. The record is from RNAcentral. Lineage: Bacteria; Pseudomonadati; Pseudomonadota; Gammaproteobacteria; Enterobacterales; Enterobacteriaceae.
AGCGGCGAGCGAACGGGGAGCAGCCCAGAGUCUGAAUCAGCGCGUGUGUUAGUGGAACGGUCUGGAAAGUCCGGCGGUACAGGGUGAUAGCCCCGUACACUAAAAUGCACACGUUGUGAACUCGAAGAGUAGGGCGGGACACGUGGUAUCCUGUCUGAAUAUGGGGGGACCAUCCUCCAAGGCUAAAUACUCCUGACUGACCGAUAGUGAACCAGUACCGUGAGGGAAAGGCGAAAAGAACCCCGGCGAGGGGAGUGAAAAAGAACCUGAAACCGUGUACGUACAAGCAGUGGGAGCCUACUUGUUAGGUGACUGCGUACCUUUUGUAUAAUGGGUCAGCGACUUAUAUUCUGUAGCAAGGUUAACCGUAUAGGGGAGCCGCAGGGAAACCGAGUCUUAACUGGGCGUUAAGUUGCAGGGUAUAGACCCGAAACCCGGUGAUCUAGCCAUGGGCAGGUUGAAGGUUGGGUAACACUAACUGGAGGACCGAACCGACUAAUGUUGAAAAAUUAGCGGAUGACUUGUGGCUGGGGGUGAAAGGCCAAUCAAACCGGGAGAUAGCUGGUUCUCCCCGAAAGCU